CCUCAAUAAAAACCUUAUAAAAAUAGAUAAAGUCAAUGAAGAGUCAGUGGAAGAGGAUCCAAGGCUCAGAAAGAGAAGGAGGUAUAUGAGAAGCUGAGGGAAGCAAGGGAGAGCAUUUCAAUAACAGGGAGACAUGGUGGACCAAUGUAGAGAGACUCUUGGAUUGGGUAACUGAGAGAUUCUGUACUGACAGAAAAACUUCAACAAGAUAGCUUCAACUUGAAGAAAGAGCAAGGUUAAGGGAGAUUCUGGAGGCUGAUUUUCUUGUUCUUGUUGUUUAAGUCUUGGAGGUGCCUGAAGAUGUCUACAACUGGAAGAAAAGAAGCCACUGGAGCGGAAGGUGGGGAGAAUAAAGUUUGGAGCAAGAUUCUCAAGGAAGCAACAAGAUCCUAAGGCCACUGCUUUGCUGAGUCAUUCUACUAUGCGGCCCCUCAGACACAAAGCCCGGCGGCCACCUGCCCACAGAGUCACAGAAGGCCAGCCAACUGCAAGCUCGGAACUUCAGGAUCUUGCUUUUUGGGUUAUUUUCACUACUGUAACUUUUUUGUCCUUAGAAAUGGAGAAAGAGACCACCUACUGCAUUUCUGUCCCUUGCUGAAAAAGACACUCUGUCAGAGAAUCUUCUAGCAAACUUCAAA
Molecule: long non-coding RNA, 638 nt
Filed under: Theropithecus gelada (gelada)
Lineage: Eukaryota; Metazoa; Chordata; Mammalia; Primates; Cercopithecidae
Description: lncRNA (ENSTGEG00000000734.1)
Source: RNAcentral